CAACUACAGGCUAGUGGCAUGGAUACCUUGAUUUUUACAUUUACAAAACACAGCAAAGGCAGGAGUAUUGUAGACUGCAAAGUUACAGGAGAACAUGCACAAAAAAUGUUUUGCAGUCCUGUUGGACAAUCGUUUGCAAACCUAUGGAAAGGAAAAGAAGAAGCUGUUGAAGAAAGCAAGGAGGAAAUAGGAGGCAUAGCCACUGUGCCAAGCAUAGUUGAUGCAGAAUCUAUUGAAGGACAAAGCCCAACACAAAGUCAAGUAGAUGCAACAAUGUUGCAAACUGUAGGCAGCACAAUACCAAAGAACAAUGUUUCUAUUCAUCAACCUACAGUCAAUGUUGGGUAAAAUCCAGCACCAUUUCCAAAGCAAACCACUACAAAACGUCAACUAGAAUCAACUACUAUUCCCAAAGAUGAUAUCACCCAUUGUGCGGUGCCAAAUAAAUCUUUAAGAUUUUACACUGCUAGGCCUAAUAAGGACCCAAUAAUAAAACCAGCACAGAUGCCAGCAGUAGUUGUUAACAACACUCGUAAUUCUUCGCCGCAUCUUCUCCUGAAAGACAAAAUUAAAGCUAGAAUUCAGUUUAAGAUUCACCUGUCCGAUGCAAGUCAAGUUAUCAAUGUUGAGAUUUUUUCUACCUGGACUGGCUCACAAGAGGAGCUCUGCGUUAAAGUGAAAUCUAUGUGGGAGAAAAAGAAUGAGAAACAUGCCUUGAGAGCAACAAUUGUCCCUACAGAAAUCCAUUCAACUGUGAAUUCCAUCCAAAAUGAUAAAUUUUAUUCUGUAGGGGAUUGGGAAGACUACUUUUUAACUUUUACGUUUGGUAACAUAGAAUUGUUAUGUAUUUGAAUUGUUUCUUCCACCUUUGUAAGAAAACCUGUAUAUUUUUCAUUCAAGAAAUAAAAACACUGCCUUUAA
Molecule: long non-coding RNA, 921 nt
Organism: Daphnia magna
Lineage: Eukaryota; Metazoa; Arthropoda; Branchiopoda; Diplostraca; Daphniidae
Exons: 3
Source: RefSeq, a predicted model, not a curated record